This 567-nucleotide long non-coding RNA is filed under the name Ananas comosus (pineapple). RNAcentral's name for it is "long non-coding RNA (ACOM_LNC029984)". The record is from RNAcentral. Lineage: Eukaryota; Viridiplantae; Streptophyta; Magnoliopsida; Poales; Bromeliaceae.
GAGAGAGCUAGGCUGGUAUACUAUCAGUAGCACAGAGGCCUCCGUGCUAGAAGUUGUUUUCAAUGAUGUGGCUUCCAAAUCGACAAUCGGCUCCGUAAGAUUUGAUCUACACUACUGAAAGUAUUUGAAAACUAAAUUUCAUAAUUUUUCGAUAUCAUUUGACUAGUGAUCAAAAGGUCUCAAAAUUGAUAAUUUUAAUAGUAGAUGUGAUGCGUUUGUGAAUUUACGGUGUAAAACAAUCCAAAUUUAAUAAAAUUUUUAUAAAUUUUUUUUUGCACUAUUUAGAAUAAAAUCAGUAUCUCGGAUCUUAAAUUUAAGUAUUUUAUCAUUAUAUUUUAUAAAAAUUUGAUUUUCAACCGUUCAUUUUUAUACUACUCAUUUGAUUGGUAAAUAAUGCCGAAAAAUUAUGAAAUUUAGUUUCUAAAUAUUUUCAAUAGUGUAAAUUAAGUCUAACAGAGCUGACGUCGAUUUGAAAGCCGCGUCAUUGAAAAUAACUUGGUAGCACGAAAACUUCUGUACUAUCGAUAGUAUAUCAACCUAGCUCUCUCUCUCUCUCUCUCUCUCUCU